GAUGAACGCUGGCGGCGUGCCUAAUACAUGCAAGUCGAGCGAACAGACGAGGAGCUUGCUCCUCUGACGUUAGCGGCGGACGGGUGAGUAACACGUGGAUAACCUACCUAUCAGACUGGGAUAACUUCGGGAAACCGGAGCUAAUACCGGAUAAUAUAUUGAACCGCAUGGUUCAAUAGUGAAAGACGGUUUUGCUGUCACUUCUAGAUGGAUCCGCGCCGCAUUAGCUAGUUGGUAAGGUAACGGCUUACCAAGGCAACGAUGCGUAGCCGAACUGAGAGGGUGAUCGGCCACCCGGGAACUGAGACACGGUCCAGGGUCCUACGGGAGGCAGCAGUAGGGAAUCUGCCGCAGUGGGCGAGAGCAUGACGGAGUAACGCCGCGUGAGAUAUGAAGGUCUUCGGAUCGUAAAGAUCUGUUAUUAGUGAAGAACAAAUGUGUAAGUAACUAUGCACGUCUUGACGGUACCGAAUCAGAAAGCCACGGCUAACUACGUG
This 497-nucleotide ribosomal RNA is filed under the name uncultured bacterium. RNAcentral's name for it is "partial 16S ribosomal RNA". It matches the Rfam family "Bacterial small subunit ribosomal RNA", at positions 28 to 507 of the family's 1533-position model. The record is from RNAcentral.